RNAcentral lists this ribosomal RNA (497 nucleotides) under uncultured bacterium. Its description in RNAcentral is "partial 16S ribosomal RNA". It matches the Rfam family "Bacterial small subunit ribosomal RNA", at positions 28 to 507 of the family's 1533-position model. The record is from RNAcentral.
GAUGAACGCUGGCGGCGUGCCUAAUACAUGCAAGUCGAGCGAACAGACGAGGAGCUUGCUCCUCUGACGUUAGCGGCGGACGGGUGAGUAACACGUGGAUAACCUACCUAUAAGACUGGGAUAACUUCGGGAAACCGGAGCUAAUACCGGAUAAUAUAUUGAACCGCAUGGUUCAAUAGUGAAAGACGGUUUUGCUGUCACUUAUAGAUGGAUCCGCGCCGCAUUAGCUAGUUGGUAAGGUAACGGCUUACCAAGGCAACGAUGCGUAGCCGACCUGAAAGGGUGAGUGGCCACACUGGAACUGAGGCACGGUCCAGACUCCUACGGGAGGCAGCAGUAGGGAAUCUUCCGCAAUGGGCGAAAGCCUGACGGAGCAACGCCGCGUGAGUGAUGAAGGUCUUCGGAUCGUAAAACUCUGUUAUUAGGGAAGAACAAAUGUGUAAGUAACUAUGCACGUCUUGACGGUACCUAAUCAGAAAGCCACGGCUAACUACGUG